GAGACCUAACCCUCUCUAAUGUUUUAUAUAUGAAAGGCUCAAUAAUGAACAAUGAGUUUGUCAAAAGGCUAAAAAAACAAUGCAGUGGCUCCUCCGCAUUCAUGUGAGUACCUCCACCUUCUCACCUAAAUAUCUAUAAAUGUCCUUGUCCAUUUACUUGCCUUUCUUCUUCACUUUUCACUUUUCUUUUAUUUAUAGGACUUUUUUUUAUUGCAAAAAAUUUAUAUAAGGUGUUAACCUUAGUACAAGUAAGAUGUACCUAAAAAACCCACUGAACCAGGUUGCUCCUAUACUGGAAAACCCCCAACUCAGUCAUCUCGACCUCGAGAUUCAUAGAUAUGAAAAAAGGGGGGAUUUCUACUCAUAAAAAUAGUUCACUACUAAGACAUUAUCGAGACUGUCCAUUAUCAAGAUUUUCAAGUGUUUAUAGAUCGGCUUGAUUGUCACCAUUUCUAAAACUUUAAAUUUAGUAAUUGGGGGAAACAAUAGAUUUUUAUAUCAUUCCAAGGCUUUGCGGUACCGAAACUACAUUUUUGACAUAAUUUUAGACAUAUCUUACUUCAAUAGUAUACGGUUGACACCUCAUACAAACCUAACCUUUUUUUAAAAAAAAUUUCCAUUAUUUUAUUUUUUAUCGUCAGUUUACCAGCUUGAUAAAAUGAAUCUCUAGAUGUCAAUAUCAUGUUAUGGCACCUGUUACCUUGAUCGGGAAGCCUAGGGGCUAUUCCAUAUUAUUAGUACUAUCAAUAUUAUCAUUAUUGAAAGAUGGCUUUACUUUGAAGAGAAACAAUAAAACAUUCUAAAUUAACAUACUCUUUCAGAGGGCGUGUAUUCGGUACUCCUAGUGCAUAAGGUUUUAAGUGCAAAACAUGUAGUUUGGGGAAUUUUAUGACUUGAAAGUUUCAGAGAAGAUCUUUGAUUUUUGUAUUGUGAUCAAAAGUUUUACAAAACAUCUUUGAUUUACUUUGCAGUCAACUUCUAAAAUAGAAAAAAAAACGAAAGAUUAAGAUAUGAAAGCCUUAGAUCUCAUAUUAUUAUUUUUUUUUAAAAAAAAUAUUUUAAAUCAGGACGUGGUAGAAAUAGAACUCAAGAUGCUAUAUCUGCCACCGUGAUUACUUUUGCCAUAAGCUUGUUUUUGUAGAUCUCAUUGUCUCAUCAAUAAUCCAAUCAUAGAGUUAGAAUCGACAUGUGGCUUUUUUUGAGCUCCAAAUCAACUUCUUUAGUCUGAUCUUAGAGGGGAAUAAAGAAGAUCAAAUAGUUGUGUUAAAUAAAUCCUUGAAACAUGAUGUUUUGGAUGAAGGACCGCAUGUUAAAAUCAAGGGUUUAAACCAAUGGUUAAAAAAACAGAUUGGCGCCCUGGAUCGGGCACCCCAAAAACCCAUCCUGAUCGGUGAAUCGGUGAUUCGAAUCGGGAAUCGACAGAAUCGGCCAGAUUCAGCCUUAAAAAAUCCAAAAAAAAUAUUAAAAUUCUUAUUAGGAAUCCAAUAAGAAAUGAUGAGACUCCAUUAAGAACUUUCAUUUUUUGGAUGAAUAUGCGAAUAUUUAGAUGUGAUAUCUGUAUGCUAUUAAUUAUAAUAUAGAAUUGUAACAUUACAUCAAAAUAAUUAAAAAAUGUUAGAAAACACUUCCAUAUAAUUUAAAAUAAUUUUAAUGUAUAUAAAACUAAUUAUAUUGACAUUCAAAAUAUUACGGAAGAUCGUUCUGUGACGUCAGGCAACCCGUGACUACAACUUGACGAUUCAAUGUAGCGACUCGGUGGUUCACUAUAGUGACUCAGCAGUUCUUCUCUAGAACCGGGUGACUCUGCGCACAGUGGAAUCGACACGGGAUGAUCGAUUCCCGUGUCGACUCGGCGAGUCCGUUUUGACUCACUGUCUUUUAAAACACUGGUUUAAACACUAAAAUGUGUAACUUAGUGUCACUAUUUUGUGGUGAAACCCCUUAUAAAAUCAUUUGAGAGUUAAACAUCCCCGUUAAUACUAUAUGCGUUAUUUUCAAAUUUUCGUUUAACUCAAGUGCCAUCUCAAAAAGUAUCUUAAAAAAUAA
Molecule: long non-coding RNA, 2046 nt
Filed under: Amborella trichopoda
Lineage: Eukaryota; Viridiplantae; Streptophyta; Magnoliopsida; Amborellales; Amborellaceae
Description: long non-coding RNA (ATRI_LNC004634)
Source: RNAcentral